AGUCCUCCACGCAAAAUUAUACCCUGUUAUACUCUUAUCUGUCCUUCCUCCAAAACGCCAUCUUUUGACUGCCCACGGCGACACCAUCUCGCGUUCUGCCCGAUCCCAAAUGGAGUCCGUCGCGGCAUCGGCGGCGAUCCCCUCGUCGCCUUCCCACCUCUCCUUCUUCUCUCCCAAGAAAAUCGCCCCUCGACGCCAAUCCCUAGUCCCGAUCGCCUCCAAGAAUAGGGAAGAUGAGGCGGAUCGUAGUUCCGGAUCGUCGCCGUCUCCCCUCUCCUUCUUCUCACCCAAGAGAAGCACCCCUCGACGCCAAUCCCUUCUCCCGAUCGCCUCCAAAAGUAGGGAAAACGACGCGGAUAACAAUUCCGUGUCCGAAAGCACCAGCCUCGUCCCUUUCCUCGGCAAUCGCGCCCGCGCACCUCUUUCCCCGUUCCCCAAUGAUACGGCAAUGGGCUUGGUUUUGAGCGCGGCGGCUGGAAGAGGGUGGACGACGGGUUCCGGAAUGGAGGGCCCUCGGAUCCCUGCCUACUCCAAUUCCGCCGAUCAGACUGUUCUCACCUUCCCCUGGUCCCUCUACACCAGGUCUCCCCGCCGUCGGAUGCGUGUGGCCUUCACCUGCAACGUCUGCGGUCAGCGGACCACUCGUGCCAUCAACCCCCAUGCAUACACCGACGGCACCGUCUUUGUUCAGUGCUGCGGCUGCAAUGUGUUUCAUAAGCUGGUAGACAAUCUGAAUCUGUUCCACGAGAUGAAAUGUUAUGUGAACCCGAGUUUCCGCUAUAAAGGAGACGUGUCAUUCAAUUACAUGGAUUCAGAUGAUGAUCAGAACAUCUUUCCCAUCUUAUAAGUUGGAAGAAGUGGGAUAUUAUAUCUAUCUGACUAAGUUCUUACCAGCCAAGUAAGCUAGCAUUUUCAGCACAUUCAGUAUAUGUGGGAUGAGGGAUGCCGCGGAGUGCCAUUUCGGUCAGCAUGUUGCUCUCGAUCUUUUUCAUGAAUACGUCAUCCUCAUCCGAUUCAUCCUGCACUUCUCGUUUGGGUGCAUCAUCGUUCGUGAUGCGGAUGCGGAGCAUGAGCUUAUCUGCAUUAUCAUCAUUAAAGAUGCACCUUAAAUCAUCACCGAAUUCGUUAUCGAUCUUCUCUGCGA
Musa acuminata AAA Group (dessert banana) is the source of this 1144-nucleotide RNA transcript. RefSeq lists it as uncharacterized. The record is from RefSeq and is a predicted model, not a curated record. NCBI's taxonomy places the organism in Eukaryota, Viridiplantae, Streptophyta, Magnoliopsida, Zingiberales, Musaceae. The transcript is spliced from 7 exons.